This 468-nucleotide ribosomal RNA is filed under the name uncultured bacterium. RNAcentral's name for it is "partial 16S ribosomal RNA". It matches the Rfam family "Bacterial small subunit ribosomal RNA", at positions 28 to 507 of the family's 1533-position model. The record is from RNAcentral.
GACGAACGCUGGCGGCGUGCUUAACACAUGCAAGUCGAACGGAAAGGCCCUGCUUUUGUGGGGUGCUCGAGUGGCGAACGGGUGAGUAACACGUGAGUAACCUGCCCUUGACUUUGGGAUAACUUCAGGAAACUGGGGCUAAUACCGGAUAGGAGCUCCUGCUGCAUGGUGGGGGUUGGAAAGUUUCGGCGGUUGGGGAUGGACUCGCGGCUUAUCAGCUUGUUGGUGGGGUAGUGGCUUACCAAGGCUUUGACGGGUAGCCGGCCUGGGAGGGUGACCGGCCACAUUGGGACUGCGAGACGGCCCAGACGCCUACGGGCGGCAGCAGUGGGGAAUAUGGCACAAUGGGCGGAAGCGUGAUACAGCAGCGCCGCGUGCGGGAUGACGGCCUUCGGGUUGUAAACCGCUUUCGCCUGUGACGAGGCGUGAGUGACGGUAAUGGGUAAAGAAGCACCGGCUAACUACGUG